UGGCCCCCGAGUGGCCGGUCGACGGCACCGGCGCCGCCGUGAUCGGCGCGGGCAACGUCGCCGUGGACGUCGCCCGGAUCCUGGCCAAGGACGCCGA
This 97-nucleotide transfer RNA is filed under the name Streptomonospora litoralis. Its description in RNAcentral is "Streptomonospora sp. M2 tRNA-His". Lineage: Bacteria; Bacillati; Actinomycetota; Actinomycetes; Streptosporangiales; Nocardiopsidaceae. The record is from RNAcentral.